UACGGAGGGUGCAAGCGUUGUUCGGAAUCACUGGGCGUAAAGGGCGCGUAGGCGGCUUGGUAAGUCAGAUGUGAAAGCCCACGGCUUAACUGUGGAAGUGCAUUUGAAACUGUCAGGCUUGAGUACCAGAGGGGAAAGUGGAAUUCCCGGUGUAGAGGUGAAAUUCGUAGAUAUCGGGAGGAAUACCGGUGGCGAAGGCGACUUUCUGGCUGGAUACUGACGCUGAGGCGCGAAAGCGUGGGGAGCAAACAGGAUUAGAUACCCUGGUAGUCCACGCUGUAAACGAUGUGAACUAGAUGCAGGGGGUGUUGAUCCCUUCUGUGUCGCAGCUAACGCAUUAAGUUCACCGCCUGGGGAGUACGGUCGCAAGAUUAAA
This 376-nucleotide ribosomal RNA is filed under the name uncultured bacterium. Its description in RNAcentral is "bacterial SSU rRNA". It matches the Rfam family "Bacterial small subunit ribosomal RNA", at positions 524 to 898 of the family's 1533-position model. The record is from RNAcentral.